Molecule: long non-coding RNA, 4530 nt
Organism: Passer domesticus (house sparrow)
Lineage: Eukaryota; Metazoa; Chordata; Aves; Passeriformes; Passeridae
Exons: 4
Source: RefSeq, a predicted model, not a curated record
UUCACAAAGAGUAAAGUGUAGUUCCUCAAGGGACACCAAAGGUACUUGUUUUUCCCAGUGUCAGAAUUUUUAUGGCAGGCUGAAAGCAACUGCUAACUUUCUGAGGCCGGCCCGGCACUGCUGCUGCAUGGGUUAUCCUUGUCAUUCAGCCAGAGUCACCCUCCUAGAGGAUGGGCUUCUGCAGCAGCUCCCUCUGAAAGGCCUGAUGAGCUGUAGAAAAAUUGCCAAUAUCCAAGGACAUCCGUGUGCUGUGCUAGAAGCCAUAUGCUGUGGUUGUCUCUGUGCAACAGUUCACUGUCCCUUUAUAGCCCUUUGUGCUUUAAGAAAUCUGUUGUCAUGGGCUUCUUCUCUCAACUACCCUGAGCUUUCUGCCAAAGCUGUCCCUGCUCUUGACUCUAGGCCAUGGCUUCUUGCCCAUCUAGCAAACUUCUUAAACAGCUCCUGAUUUUCAGGAGGUUUUUUUUUCUGCCUUUUAUUCAUCCUCUGGUCAAAUUCUCUUUAAUGUUCAUUAAGGAUGAGAAGUUUGUUUCUGUGAAGCUCCAAAUAUAAAUAUUACUAGUUAGAACUGUCUUUUGUCCAUAAUGAAUGUAAGAAGAUCACAUAAGCCUUGAUCAACAAUUUGUAGUCCUAGUAUUAAUGUUAGAAUGAGUCUCCAAAAGGAGAUUGCUGUCACAUGCAAUCUCCUUUCGUGGAAAGAAAAAAAGUUCAAUCUCUAAAACUUGUAAUGUUUUACUACCAGUUGCAUGAGAUCUUCCAAACUUGAGUUCUCUAUAAAAAUGCAAUUUUUAUCCUUCAGUGCAGACAGAUGCUUUAGGAAUAAUUCAUCCUACUUUCUGGUUUGAUUUAGUGUUUUGUAGCAGAUCUCAUCACUUCAUUACUCCUCACUCCCCAACUCCUUUCUGGAGUUUAUAAUUUGCAUGUUUUCACACUCCUCCAGUUUCUGAUCAUUGUAAAGGGGGUAGUGCAGGGUGCCCUCCCUCCCCCUCAGUCCUUCCUACAAGAACUACGCACUGAUUUCAAAGACUCCAUUCACAUGAAUCACCCUGUUAAUGCUCUGCAAUGACAGCUACAUCAGACUUCCUCUCAUCAGUGAGAAUUUCCGAGUCCUUUAGCACAAUAACUACCCAGCUAUUAUUUACACAUGAGCUAUUCACUUGCUCUUCUUCCCAGCUAGCUCCUGCACUGCUCAAAAUAAAUGUGACUUCCUAAGGCUGAACUACAUUUUGCUUCCUAGUAUCCUUCAUCUUUCACUCCCUCCUAGCUGCUCUCCUGUUCAGACUAUCCCUUUCCUCUCUCUUGUUAUGUUUUCUUGUCUGGAGGGGAAAACACUGCAGCCCUGAGGCUUGAAGGGCUGCUGUGGGAGAACAGCUCCACAGCUGGCAGGGAAGAGUUGCCUGUGUCCCCACUUUAAAGUUUUUGGGAGGUUUCCUGCCAGCAAAGCUGGUGCAUACUCUGUUUGCCAGUGCAGGGCAUUGCCUAUAGAUGUGCUUUCCUGCUGAGGCUGAAUGUUGUGCAUGGCACACCUGGCUAUGCUGGGCUACUCCACUGAGUAAAGCCCUGGGAGUGCAGUGUGGCUCUCUGUAUCCUCGGGAGAGGCUCCAGACCCAGAGGUCAGACUCUGACUUUCAUUAGGCAGUGAAUGGGAAGAAAGUGAAUGUCUCAGCUGGUUGCAGCAGCUUGUCCAUCACGUCCUGGGACCCAGAGUCCUCCCUGCUACUCUGGGCUGCCAGCAGCUACCUCUGAGGCUGCCAGCACCAGCACUCUGCUCUACUUCCAGUCUUUGUAGUUUCUGCUCACGAGCCCAUGGGGGAAUUAAGCCCUAAUACAGCACUGCCCAGGGCUAAGCAGCAUGAUGCAAAAUUAUCAAUUUGCAAAUACACAUUCAGCUAGAAACCACUUGGGGUUGGAAGCAUCCCCUGGGAAACUGUGGAGAGUGUGUAAAGCUUACAUCCUGCAUAAGCAAGCGAUGGCAGAGCUUGCAGGGAGCCUCAAGGCAGCUGAGUAGAGAGGGAUCAGGGACUAAUCAUUAGAGGGAAAAACAGUAGGACAGACCAGUGCAGAAGACCAUGGAAUUCAGUCAACCAACCCAGUUUUGGGAGAAAAAGUCUUUCCUUUCCUCACAUCCUUCCACUUCUGCUGCUGUCUGCACAAAAGAGAUCAAAAAGGCUGCCACCUCAGCAGAGGCGCAUUGAACCUACAGUGUUUAAAUUUUGCAGUUUGUGAAUCCCAGAGGAUUUGUGACAUAUGUGCCUGCGAUUUAGCCCGAGCAGCACAAGCAGAGCAAGAAUAAACAUAGCAGCAUGACAGGCAUCUGGCACCUCACAAAAAAAAGAAAAAUAUAAGCAAAAGAUCAAGACUCCUGCUGAUGGAGCUUUUGGAAACCACUGGAGCACUAACCUCUGGCUCUCUCAGAUUCUGAAAAUGCUGCAGCUGGUGAUUUUAAACUUUCUAUUUGCUAUCAAAGUUGCUGAGGCUGCAGAGUCAAUCUCUGCAAUGGUUACCAUCUUCAAGUCUGUCCCAGAUAUCAGUAAACAGGGAUUUUUGUCUUCUCUAUAUGCUUUUGAGAUGUUCUUAUUCCUCCCACAACCAUCAAAAGGCAGGGAAGGACAUAUUUCUGAAAUGCCCUCAUUGCCCACAGCCUCCCCAUCUGGUCAAAGAGAGGAAAAGCCACAGGAACACUAUUCUGCCUGCAUCCAGCUGACACUGAGUGGGGAGUGGCAUAAAGUGCCUUGUGGUGGGUGCCAUCACACCGGGGAUGAAGGUGCAAGACAGGCCAGGCAGCCAGGAGCCAGGAGCGUGCUGCACAAUUUUGAAGGACCACGGGUCUGGGGUCCUGAUGACGCUUUCCAACCCUUGCUCAGCCUCAAAGCAAGGGUGCUGGGCUGGCAUUCACUGGUGGCUCUUCCUUUCACUCAUCUCUGCUUUGUAGAAGAUAGUGUCAACUUUUUCUCUGGAGUUUCACUUUGGGGAAAGAAGCACCAUUUUCCUAAAGCAGGCUGGAGGCGAAACACUAUUCCUGCAUUAAAGAGGAUAACUGUCUUCUAAUCACAUUCUUCCUGCAGAGCUGAUGAGCCAAGAGCUGGUGAAGCAAACGAAGACAUUUGUCGAAAAGUUCAAUCAUUCUCCGAUUAUCACAUUUCUUGAUGCUUCCCUCAAAGCCUCAGGCAUGGAGUAGCUGGAACAGCUGAAUCUCCAUCCUGGCAGUCCUUCUGUCCACUCAGUUCUACAAGCACACAUCACCUAAGUAUCCCAGGUCUUAUGUGUUCUCCCAUGCAGCCUUGUUCUUCUUGGGCUUUUUCCCAUUAUUUAAUGAAUCUUGGAUUUGACAACUAUUAUCUCUAAACAGAAGUCAGUACAGACACAAAUCUGAUGUGGAGAAAGUAUCAAGAUAUUGUCAUAUUCAAUAAGAAAUAAAUGAAAUCUCUCAAGCCACUUUCAUGUCAUUAAUAUUGGAAAAUAUGUUAAUAGCAAGAAUUUAUAUGAUGAUUUUGCUGCAUUUUCAAGUCAUUCUAUCUCUCUAACAUUAAGCUGACAUGGCACCAUAAAAGUUACCACACUGAAAAAUUCCAAUCUCAUUUUACAUAGUGUUUCACAGUGUCUCUGGUUCAUUUCUGUGUUAGGUGAUGAUGUGCUACAGAUGAUGAUGUGCCAAGAAAAUCUUCCUACUGCCUCCUAGAAUAUUGAUACUGGGACAUAAAUAUCUCAAAGCCACUUUAAUUUUUGCAUUUCCACAGGAAAUACACUUCUCAUAUCCAAAAACCUCUCAAAAAAUAAGCUUUAAAUGCCCUCCUUCUUUCUGUCCUGAAGUUACCCCCAAGUUUUACUUGUGGAAGUAUUGUUCUUCAGUGUUUUCUGAUCUUCCUUAAUUUCAUUUUUUUUCCUGACAGCUGACUGUGUGCUUCUGUGUGGAGAGCAUUUUAGAACUGUCUUCUUUGAUGACAAGGAGAAAAUUACUAGUUUGUCUGACUUAACACAAAUAGUGGGGAAAAUGCUACACUUUUAAUUCAGGAGAAGUCCUGUUGACUUCCAUAAGAGGUUUGCUAAAAUGUUAAAUUAAAGGUACCAUUUCUAGAAUUCUGCUUAAUCUGAGCCACCACAACAUACUUGACAUAAAAGUUUGAUGCUGAAGACUUAAACCUGCAUGAUUAACUUCAAACAAAUGCACAGUUAAUUCAGGAGCCCUUUAAAACCUGAAGGAGUACACUGGAACAACUCUAAUUGUGAUUUGUGCCAAUAUGUAAUCUAUCCUGAGUCAAGGCCCAAUAUAAAAUAUCCCAUUUUUAUCCAGAGAUGCAAACAUUGAUGUUUUUGAAAGAGAAAAAAAAGUCAUUUGAAUCUUUUGUUAUUCCAUUAGCACAGAGUAUUCCUGUGUCCCUGACAAAGGGCUCCUAUCUGAUUUUGGGCAGGGCAUUUAGACUAAAAUGUUUAUAGAUGAUCACUAUUUACCUGUUCCACAUACUCAAAAUGUGUAAUGUGAAUUCCCUGGGCCAGAUUUGGAUGCAUGGCUACAGCUGUAUUUUAGACCUGAAC